GAGGCGAUAUGCGAUGAUGUUAAUUUGUGAAUGAAUGACUCACUGCACUGCACCGCAUGCAUGCAUUGCAAAUGCUGUUUUUGUAUAACCGUGACGACCUCCCUGGUCCUGGACGACCUACUAACUUAUUCGAGACUCAAGUAGAAAUUGUUUGUGCAUAAGAACAUCUGUCUGUGAAGCUGUAACAAGUUCAAACAGUAAGAAGUAGGAAGAUAAGAGGAAACUAUGAACAGUGCUGGUGGAAGUGUGCAGAGAGCCAGGCAAAGAAUGGCCCAAUUUCCUGCUGCACUUGCAGAAUGCACCCCACAGGCACUUGCUUACGGUCGAUGCGUUUCUGCCAAGGACCAUGUAGGUAGAAAUGACUGUGCCAAAGAGUUUCAAGUCUACAAGGAAUGUCUUCAGAAAGUGAUGUGCAAGGUGAAGAAAUGAUAACUGCUGCUGUACAGAAGAGAAAUAACGAGCAUGAGCUCUUCCUCCAGAUAUGAUGGUGUGCCACCGGUGUGCCACCUACACUCGGCCUCUGUAGCUGAGGUUUUGCUACUUUGGUUGAUGAUGUCAUCUGGAUUGAAGCUUCAGCAUCGAAACACACAAAUGGCUGUGAGAUUACAUCAAACAAUGGUGGAUUUUACCACCAGCUUAUCAUAGGGAUGAUUGAGUCCCUCCCCUCUAGGAGGUAGAUGAUACUUAGCACUUUAAAAGGAAUUUGAAGUUGGGAGAUACAUGUAGGUUAAAAAAACCCAUUGGGAAUUGCAAGGCCUCUUUUAAAGUAUAUUUAUUUCAUUUUUGUCGGAGGGGGUCGGGUGGAAUAUAAAAUCAAAUGAUCCAAUGAAAAUUGUAGUUCUUCAUUUGCCUUUACAUUCAUGAUAUGACAAAAUGACAUACACAUAUUUUGCUCAAAUAUUUAUUUGUAGUUUCGUGCAUGCAUGAUUUGUGCAGUGCAUUUUACUCUCCAUAAGAUAGAGUUCAAGUUCAAGCUUCUUUCACAAUUCAAUCUUGUGACCAAAGAAAUUCCUUGAUUUCUUGUUCUCCUGUGAUGCUAUUUAGUGACUUUAUUCUUUGAAGUUUCAUCCAUCUUUUUUUGGUACAUAGUUCAUUUAAAUUAGACCAGGAUGAUGGAAUCACUGAAUGUUUGCUUACAUUUUUGUACAAAUGAGUACAUAUUUUCAUUAGUUGCUACAAACACUUCAGCUGGUUUCAGCUCCAGAGCCAUUUAGAAUAAUAUGCAAUUUCUGAUACCUGUACUUUGGUUAUCUUAUACAAUCAUAAAAGCAGUGACACAGGUAUUAAAGAAAAUAUGGAUUUUAGAUCUAAACUGAAAUAAAGAAUUUAGUUUGUUGACAAAAAUUUUCAUGGAAAUAUAAUGGUUGAGCUUUAAGAUUGUCAUAAGUGCAUGAUGUUUAAGGCAAAAAAUAAAAAUAAAUAAAAGGACACAUUUACUGUGAAUGUGAAUGAUUCGUUAAUAAAUCAUGUACCGGUAGUCAACAAUUUAUUCCAUCUAAGUUAGCGAACCAAGAAUUUGUGACAUUUAGCGAGAGAGAAAAGAAAUUGACCCACCAAAUAUACUUCUUUUCAGGAAA
Molecule: long non-coding RNA, 1577 nt
Organism: Lytechinus pictus (painted urchin)
Lineage: Eukaryota; Metazoa; Echinodermata; Echinoidea; Temnopleuroida; Toxopneustidae
Exons: 4
Source: RefSeq, a predicted model, not a curated record